RNA transcript from Stegastes partitus (bicolor damselfish), 3241 nucleotides. It is a transcript of the gene named acyl-coenzyme A thioesterase 1-like, with no coding region annotated. The record is from RefSeq and is a predicted model, not a curated record. Lineage: Eukaryota; Metazoa; Chordata; Actinopteri; Pomacentridae. The transcript is spliced from 6 exons.
CCGAAGUUCAGAUGUUUAUAAAGUUGGACCUCUGAAUUUAAAAACUGCUUCUCUGACAGUGACAGAGCUUCAGUUUGUACUGACAAAAGUAGCUGCACAAAUUCUGAAUUUCUAAGAAAAAAAAAAAAGCAGGAUUUUCAAGCAGAGAUGUCCGCCCAGGUCAGACUGAGGCUGCAGCCGAGUGCCAGGUGUUUGUUCGAUGAUCCUGUUCAGGUGACGGUCACUGGACUGAGGUCGAAACAGCUGGUCACCAUGAAGGCCAGAUCGACUGAUGAGAAGGGAGUGAUGUUCAGCUCCUCGGCCACCUACAGGGCUGAUGGGAGCGGGGAGAUCCACCUGGACAGAGACCCCUCACUCAGUGGGAGCUAUGUUGGGGUUGAACCCAUGGGUCUGCUGUGGUCGAUGAAACCGGACACUUUGCACAAAAGGUUUAUAAAGACAAAUUCGCUAAUCCCUCAUGUGGUGAAAUUCUCAGUGCAUGAGGAGGAAGAGGAGGAGGAGGAGGAAGGCAGGAUGCUGGCAGAAGUGAUCAACGAGAGGUUUCUGAUCGGAGACGGGGUCAGUCGGCUCCCCGUCAAAGAGGGGAAUAUUCGCGGGGUCCUGUUUACUCCCCCAGGAAGUGGUCCAUUCCCCGCUGUGCUGGAUCUGUACACUUUUGGUGGAGGUCUGUCGGAGAAAAGGGCCUCUCUGCUGGCCAGUCGAGGAUUUGUGGUUCUGACUAUAGCGCUGUACCGCCAUGAUGACAUGCCAAAGAACAUCCAAGAGAUCCAUCUUGAUUAUUUUGAAGAAGCAAUAGAGUUUCUGAAAAGACAAGAUAAGGUGGGCAGUAAAGGAGUUGGUGUGAUAUCACUGUCAAAAAGUGGAGAUCUUGCACUGUCCAUAGCCUCCUACCUGCCAGGUGUUGAGGCCACAGUGUGGAUAAAUGGCUGCUCUGCAAAUACGCUGAUACCCCUCUACUACAAGGACAGACAAAUCCGCUCCGUGUUAACAUUUGACGCAAAGAAAGUCAUUUUCACUGAGACGGAAGCCGUCAAUAUCAAAUAUACUCAAAACAGUCCCCUGGCAGAGGAGAAUAAGGACGCCCUGAUCCCCAUUGAACAAGCAAAGGGACGUUUCCUGUUUGUGGCCUCAGAGGAGGACCUCAACUGGGACAGCAAGGCUUACAUGGACGAGAUGGUGGAGAGACUGAAGCGUCAUGGGAAGGACAACUUUGAGAGCGUGUCUUAUCCUGGAGCUGGACACUACAUGGAGCCACCUUAUGGACCCUAUUGUCCCUCCAGCUUCCAUGGGUUUGUAGGUAGGCCAGUCUUGUGGGGGGGUGAGGCCAAGACCCACGCAGCAGCUGAAGUCCACAUGUGGAAAAAGAUCCAGGAGUUCUACAGAACUCACCUGAGCUGUGAUGAUACACAGACGAAACCCAGGUUAUGAAUAAAAACAAGAUGAUAGGAAAGUCAAAGAAAAGGAACCAGUUAUCGCUGAAGCUCCCAGAUGGUGACGUAAACCUUUAAGUAAACACUGACAGCACUGUAUGAAGACCUGAUCCUGACUGUGAUGGGGAAUUUUUGGGGCACCACUUUACUUUCCACUUGUAAUUUAAACAGUAGUUUUAAUAAAUAUCGAAGAAUCUUCCAUUUUAGUAGUUUCUUGUUCCCCCCCAUAUGUAAAAAGGUGAAAGGAGGACGUUUCCAAUGAUUUUUAAACUCUCUAGCAUUGCUAAUUUUUGAUUUUUGAUGAGGUAUAAUGUCAUUGAAUAAAUGAACAGACUAGAUAAGCAGCACUAAAAAUCUGUAUUAUUUUCCGUCUAAAGGGCUAACUAGCUGACCCUAUGUUUAGCUGAUUAUGUUAUGAUGCCACAUUAGCUGAAUGUAGAACUAGCUCGGUUCAAGUCCUUGUUACUACAGCCUAAGCAUCCCUGGUAAUUUUAUCUUUAUUUUUCAGUCAGGGACUAGGGUUAAGUUGUUCCUAGGUACAUUAACGUUAAAUCAAUUGGCAAUAAUCAAACAGUUUAACAAUAAUCUGUGUUAGCAGCUAAAUCCAGAUGCAACAUCAGAUGUUAUAAAUAAAGUUAUAUCCUGUGCAAAAGCAGAAAGACUGAAUUGAUCAAAAUGAUGACUUCUCUCUUUUUCUCCCACUUUGCUGGAGGAAGAUACUUUUGCAAAUUGUACAUUUAGUUUGAUAAUAAGGUUCUGGUCUGUUACGUUUAAAUCACCCUCUAAGUUUGUACACUCACAUUUGUACAUACAUUGAUUUUAAAACUACUGUCUGUGCAUUAGGAGAACAUAGAUAUUGUUUUCAAUGGGGGAAUUUUUCCCCAUUUACCCUCAUAUUUACCCUAAUUCUAGCCCCUCUCCAGGCCUUUAGUGUGAAGCAGAAGUUUGGAGCCAAACUUCGAGAGCAGGCAGACAUAACUUGGGAGUCAAGGGAAGUUUGGAUGAGGUUAAGCCUCAAAAGACAUGACUGGUGAUGGUUCAGGUUACACUUGGCCUUUAAGUUAUUUGCACCAACAUCAAUCUGAGCAUCUCUUUAAGGUAAGAAAAGACACUUAGUGGUUUUUUGUCACAUGUGCACCUGUGAGAUUUAACAUUUUAGAGUAAUUCAAGGGAGUAAAAAUUAACUAUAUCCAGUCAUCUAACAGUUAUUUCACUUGUUUAUUGCUUUUUGAGAGGAGUUGACAGUUCUUCCAAUCGCAGCCUUAGGGUUAUUUUUUUUUAAUGCAUUGAUUAUGCUUUGCAUCGUUAAUACAAGUCUGAGUCAAAUGACCAAAUUAACGCAGUGGAGUAAAUUCAACAUAUUGGUUUCUUGUACACUGAGGUUUUUUUGGUGUUUCUUUUAAAUGCAGAUGCUAUUAACAAUGUUUCAUUUUAUUUAGAGUUGUCGGCCUUGGAGGACUCAGCACAGUUGGCCAGACCACCAUCCAGCAGCUCAUCCACGUCGUCCUCCAGCAGAUCAGGGAAAAGGAAACGGGAUGCAUCUGGUGAUCUGCUUCAGUACCUGGAGAGGUCUGAGGAAAGGUUCUUGGAAUAAAGCUGGUGAGACCAAGACCUGGCUGCUGCAAUGCUUGAAAAUAUUGAAAGGAUGGAUAACACUUGAAGCGCUUUAAUUAUUUUGAUGGGACAAGUCAUGUCGCUGCUGGAAGGGCUGGCAAAAAAAAAAAAAAAAAAAAUUCUUUUAUAUUAUAACUUUUUGUAUUCAACCCAAUUGUAUAUACUUGCACCGUGUAUAUAAAAAAAACAUGUUUAGA